AUUAUUGUGGCUGUCACUCAGGUUUUCUGCUCAUUGGUAGACAAAGGGUGAGGAGGUGACUGAAAUUGGAACAGUGGAAGGACCCUUCACCAAAACCUGGAACUUCAGAAGAAUGGCAGGGCUGAAAAUGAUUAGUGUUAAUUCAUUCCAGUUGUGUUACCCUACCCAUAAGACUGCCUGAAGGAGCCUGAACUUCCACGUGCUGUCUUCCAUAUAAUGUGAUCUGAGG
Long non-coding RNA from Homo sapiens (human), 229 nucleotides. The record is from Ensembl. Lineage: Eukaryota; Metazoa; Chordata; Mammalia; Primates; Hominidae.